UAGGGAAUCUUCGGCAAUGGACGAAAGUCUGACCGAGCAACGCCGCGUGAGUGAAGAAGGUUUUCGGAUCGUAAAACUCUGUUGUUAGAGAAGAACAAGGACGUUAGUAACUGAACGUCCCCUGACGGUAUCUAACCAGAAAGCCACGGCUAACUACGUGCCAGCAGCCGCGGUAAUACGUAGGUGGCAAGCGUUGUCCGGAUUUAUUGGGCGUAAAGCGAGCGCAGGCGGUUUCUUAAGUCUGAUGUGAAAGCCCCCGGCUCAACCGGGGAGGGUCAUUGGAAACUGGGAGACUUGAGUGCAGAAGAGGAGAGUGGAAGUCCAUGUGGAGCGGUGAAAUGCGUAGAUAUAUGGAGGAACACCAGUGGCGAAGGCGGCUCUCUGGUCUGUAACUGACGCUGAGGCUCGAAAGCGUGGGGAGCAAACAGG
RNAcentral lists this ribosomal RNA (429 nucleotides) under Gemmatimonadota bacterium. Its description in RNAcentral is "Gemmatimonadetes bacterium partial 16S ribosomal RNA". It matches the Rfam family "Bacterial small subunit ribosomal RNA", at positions 355 to 776 of the family's 1533-position model. The record is from RNAcentral. Lineage: Bacteria; Pseudomonadati; Gemmatimonadota.